Non-coding RNA from Physcomitrium patens, 4247 nucleotides. The record is from RefSeq and is a predicted model, not a curated record. Lineage: Eukaryota; Viridiplantae; Streptophyta; Bryopsida; Funariales; Funariaceae.
ACCUCUCUUUUUUGUGCCAGCAUUCUUUCUCCGUUCUUUGCCGACGUUCAGAGGAUGACGUUGCUUCGAAUGCUCACGAAUUACGGACAACCAUGCCAGAGAGCUCUGCCUGCCUCUUAGCGGCGCGAUAUUGUGUUAGUAAGACCACGUGUGUCUAAUUGGUCUGUCAAUUUGCCUUUACAUUGAAGAUUUUAAAAUCCGCUCAGCUUAGGAAUUGUGGAUGCUCUGAGAGCAGGACAUUUUCUGGCCCUUUGAUAAUUAACAUAUUGAAUCGAGGAAGUAUAGUCUGUAUCGUUGGGCUUCCUUCAGCUCUCUCUUUCUGUAACGUGGGGAUUGCAGUAUCUUUAGUGUCAAUAGAUUGCAAGUUCAUGUUCAAAGAUCCCCCUCCACUCUUUCUUUAUUAAAUGGAAUCAUUCAUGGCUUCGCAAAAGCAAGAUCUCAUCCUUACUCAGCUAAAUGAUUUCAUGCACAGUUUCUUACGUGCACCUACUUCUGCUUUAUGAACUGAGCGUAGCCGAAUGCGUUUCGAUAGAAGAGAAUCGAAAGGUUGCUUGAAUCAAUUAGCAAGAGAUUCAAUAGGAAUCUACUUGGUACUGUCCACCCCAUUUGUAAUGACACUUUCCACAACGUAGCUAUAGGAGGAAGAAAGCACCGUUCUCCUUUUUGGCAUAAGCAGUGAGUUCGUUGUUCUACAUCCAUCUAUAGCAACAAGCAAACGUUGUGGCUUGUGUUUCGUGGAUCUCUCUGCUCUUUUCUCGAGAAGUGACACGGAGCUCAUUGUCUCUGCGUUCCGAAGCCUCAAUUGACAAUCAUGUUCUUCAUUGUUGAAGACAGAAACUCCAUUUAGGCAAAUUUCAGCCAUUCAUGGCGCCCCGGAGCUGAUGAGGACCUUUCAAAGGAUUUAAAUAGGCAUUGUGCCAGAACGUAUGCAAACGAACCGAUGCAGGAAAUCAAUGUUGAGUUGCCUUUAGUUCCUCUGGCUCCUUCAUUUGCUUCAGUCAGUGCCCAGUAUCAUGAUAAUGAGGGCAAUCAGAGUGAAAUUUCACCAGGGCUGCAUGCUGAACGAUUUGCAUUGGAGCAAGAGGUGGCCAACUUGAAGGAGGAGCUCACUCACGGGAUUAGGUUGCGGGAAGCUCUGAAGCAUGGCCUUCAAAGGUCUCCAGGGACUCGGCCCAAAUUUCUUGGAUACGUUCCUACUAAGACGAGAGAGCUUCUAUUUGAAGUUGCUGUUUUAGAAGAAGAAAUCAUCUUGCUUGAGAAGCAUGCAUUAUCUCUGCGGAAAGAGCUGCAGGAUGAAUUUUUACCAGGAUUGUUCACAUCCUUUCGGCCGAACAGUGGAGAAGAGACUAUCUUCGCUUCCAAGAAACCUACUGCUUUGGAGACCGAGUCCUUAGAAUUUGGAGCCUUCGAACCUCCUUCGAAUUCUGAGCCAACUACUCCGGCUCUUACAAUGACUCCGUCGGUGACACCAUUUGAGUCUCCUGAAUGGGGACCCUCUACUUCUUCUUCUCCUUCACUUAUGGUGGAUGGAAGCAUGCAGCUGUCCUCAUCUGCACCUACAGCUCUUUCGUUACCCCUUUCCAUGAAUUCUUCCCCCUUCCAUGGUGAUGAACCUUAUGGUGUACCUUCUCAGUUGAACGGUAAUAAAUUGGUUGAAAGAAACCCCUCCUCCUCUAUGUCACUUCCUGCAGACUUUGGUGAUCGAUGUGAUGUGGUCGGAAAGCCUUCCAAAAAGAAGCCCACACACAAAAAGUCUGCAUCACUCUCAUCAAAUGCCAGAAAUACAGAUACGGACCCUGACGCGAACUCGGUCCAACCUGCUCCGCUACUGGAAGAGGUGGAUAAAGGCGAUGUUUUUCAGAGACUAUCUACACCAAAAAAUGGAGGACGAGCAAGACCUAAAGCAAGAGCAUCAUUUCUUCCCUCUCCCCCUACUAAUCCCGCCAACCCAGGGAAUAGUGCGCUGAGAAGGUCCGCAAGUAUGAAGCAUGUUAAGAGUAAGUCACCAACGCCAGGUACUCAGGUAACCGAGAAAGUGAAUAAUGGUCCUAAAAAGCCUCGGAGAAAGGACCUUCAUGGCCGUUCACCAUCGCUUGUUAGCCCCAAAUUGGAGGCUAAAGGAAGUUCUUAUUUCAAACACUCUGUAAGCAACAGAAGAACGCAAGUUGAAUGUUUAUCCGCAUCAACUCCGCCUGCAGUAAUUGAAGACAAGGCUAUGGCCAUUAUCAAGUGCACAGUAUCAAGCAUGAAUAUACCUGGAUCAUCGCAAUCGAAGUUUCACAAUCGUAGUAACUCACCACUGACCCCUACUGCGCAAAAGGGGUGCCAGGAUCGGUCAGUGGUGCCCUUCAAAUUGCCUCUAACUGCAGAGAAGGAAACAGUCAGGUUAUUGACUCUUAGUGAUGAACAACGAAGGGCGCAUGAUCUCGUUAUUACCAGGUCCCUGCCUCCCAUUAAGUUAGUCAAGGCUUCUGAGAAAACACCGGUAACUCCUUUCAAGGACGGUGAUCAGCAUGGCCUGAUUUGGGGGAACAACUUCUCUGAAAAUGCUAUAUCGUAUGCCAAGGAAAAGCUCUCGUCGAAAUCCUUUGAGGAAGGAUCUAAAGUGAAGCCGGUUCAAGCUCAGAAGCCUUCAUGUUACAGAGGUGAAAGCAAUCAAUCAAGCACUCCAAAAUUUGAGAUGUCCCAAUCGUCAAAUUGUUGGCCAGAACGCGAUACUGUCGAUUAUGAUGAUAAGGAUGAUAAAGUGGACAUGGUUUGUGGUCUGAUAUCGGACGCAGCCUGGGUAUCAGAGGAUCUUGCAAGACUGUUCGGCUCAGUUUGCUAUAAAAUUCGCAAGCAUUCAUCAUCCUCAGAUUCAGCGACUACGAAGAUUGUCGUUAAGUCUCCUUCUCCGUUGCUUGGAAGUUCCCGGAAAGUUUUCCCAUGCGGAAAAAGUUAUGUUGGUGACAUAAAGAGUCAAGGGGCUCUACAACUUCUCCAAGAAUACUGUUCGGAUGAAAGGGAUUGCUCGGAGGAUGCGGACAAGAAUAAAUCAGAUUCUCAUGGCAGAUGCAAACACGGGUCGUUGGGCAUAGGGCCUCAUCGUCAUUAUUACAAAUCACUCAAGCUACCUUUUGAGCAAAAGUUGAAUGGUGUGUUUGCAGAGCUUAGACGAUCUAUUAUGAAACGUGGAAGGAGGACUUCUCAAACCUCACAUGAGAUGCGGUUUUAUGCUGUACAUAUCAGUCUUUUCAUCUACUGUUGUUAUCGACCACAGCAUGGAAAGAAGACGAGCACUUUGCUCGCUUUGGCCAUCUGAUCCCCUGAGUGAGAAGUGCACUUGCAAGGGCAAAGUGCGUGUUCUAUCAUGGUAUGGAAUGUAGACGGUUUAUUGUGUACAUAACUCGAUAUCUUAUGGGGAAAUGGGGUAGGUAGGUGGAGCAUGCUGUAGCAUGUAAAAUUUUGGGAAGAAUUGACGCAUAACUUGCGAAUGAUUUAAUCACGGCCACCACAAGGAUGAGAUUUACCUCAAGCAAUCAAGUUACGCACCCAAAUGUCAAAACUCGCUGUUUUCGUCAAUUAUGCACUGUCCAUAGGAACGAUAUUUCUGUCAUCGCAUUGACUAUGGCGAGUCAAGUUUGGGAGCGUUUGUACAAUCCUUUGGUGUCCACAGCAUUUUCUGCUGCGACUCCUGGGUCGUGUCAAAUUCUGAUUCCCGACUUGCCCACCAACUCUCACACAUCAAAAUUUUAGACGUGUGUUGUAUUGAUUUGAUUAUAGUUUGAUAGAUUUUUCAAUGAAGAUAUUCAGAGUGUUGAGUUAAUAUUUGUGAUACCGAGAGCUUUGUUCAAUCGCCAUGCCUGGGUGGAUUGUCACAACAAACGAAACAUGGUGACAGCCGAUCUUUGACAUUGCUUCUAAAUCAGACACUUGACAAGCAUGAAAAAGCUUUCGACUUCACCAGUGGGCUUUGGGUCAAAAUCAUAUCAGCCACCAAACCAGCUAAUUAAUGACGAUCACAACUGGAAAUCGGAAUUCUCUGACGUCCUAUUUCACAAUGGCCAACCUACAGCUCAAUAUUUUGUACGGCAAUUUAGGAAGGAAAUUGUUUCCUACUUGUGGAUGAAAAGUCGAGAGAAAAUUAUGAACCGCAAACACCUUUAUUUGUUCUUACACUGAUCAAAUAGCAUGUUCACCUUGUGUUACUUCCUACUUUUUUUUCUAAUCAUCCAAAGGUAAAUAUAAUUCAUUCUUGGAUACUGAAA